CCUGCAAGGGCAGUACGUUUUUCAGAUUCAUUCCUGAAUGCCUAGCAAGGGGUCCAAAUGGAGUUGGAAUUCAGUCAAUGCUCCUUUCCUUCCUCCCUUCUUCCCUCCCUCUAUUUUUUUUGCCAUGUGAGGCCGUCUUCUUCCGCAAAGGGCUGUGCCCAUGGGUAGAUAGGUCCUCAGGGCCUAGCCCCCCAGCUCUCUUACCCUGAGCCAGCUGGAUUCUGGGGCAGUAGAGAGAGUGUUCUGGAACCUGAAGGAAAAGCAAUCACCCAGGGCUGGCAGGUGAAAGGCAGCUGGUGGUGUCCGGCUGGCAGGGGGCACCAUAUGGGCCCAGUGAGCAGGCGGGCCUGGGAACGCGGAGCCUGCCGUGAAGGCUGUUUCCAGGACCAUCAUGUCGUCCCGGAGGUGACUUGCUGGGAGCUGUCAGCCAUGCAUCUCCCGCAGAGGGGCAGCCUGCUCGUGCCCCUUCUGCCAAUCCAGGAACAGAAGCAGAAACAGAAGGUCAGAGCGGCAAGGGGCCUCCUUCGAGGUCACCAUGUCCAAAGCCUCAUUCACAGAUGGGUCGCUGCUUGAGAGCAGGGACACUUGAGUAUGUCUGAUGGACCUGGCUGUUUCCUGUGCCCCGUGCGGGGCUUUUGCACAGAGGGUGCGUAAGGGUCUCCAGCUACACCACACCGAGAUGCUAGUGGCUGUGGCUCCCUUGUCAGUGAAGGACUGAUGAACCAGCUCUGCGCAAGAAUUUUUUUAAAUCCUUGAUUUUUUUUUUUUUGCCAAUUUCUAUGCUGUAUAAACACCCAUCUAGGCCAAUUUCAAGUUACCAAAAUUUAACAACCAGCUUACAAAAUUCCUGAAUA
Long non-coding RNA from Suricata suricatta (meerkat), 854 nucleotides. RefSeq lists it as uncharacterized. NCBI's taxonomy places the organism in Eukaryota, Metazoa, Chordata, Mammalia, Carnivora, Herpestidae. The record is from RefSeq and is a predicted model, not a curated record. The transcript has 2 exons.